UGAACGCUGGCGGCAUGCCUUACACAUGCAAGUCGAACGGCAGCACGGGUGCUUGCACCUGGUGGCGAGUGGCGAACGGGUGAGUAAUACAUCGGAACAUGUCCUGUAGUGGGGGAUAGCCCGGCGAAAGCCGGAUUAAUACCGCAUACGAUCUACGGAUGAAAGCGGGGGACCUUCGGGCCUCGCGCUAUAGGGUUGGCCGAUGGCUGAUUAGCUAGUUGGUGGGGUAAAGGCCUACCAAGGCGACGAUCAGUAGCUGGUCUGAGAGGACGACCAGCCACACUGGGACUGAGACACGGCCCAGACUCCUACGGGAGGCAGCAGUGGGGAAUUUUGGACAAUGGGCGAAAGCCUGAUCCAGCAAUGCCGCGUGUGUGAAGAAGGCCUUCGGGUUGUAAAGCACUUUUGUCCGGAAAGAAAUCCUUGGCUCUAAUACAGUCGGGGGAUGACGGUACCGGAAGAAUAAGCACCGGCUAACUACGUGCCAGCAGCCGCGGUAAUACGUAGGGUGCGAGCGUUAAUCGGAAUUACUGGGCGUAAAGCGUGCGCAGGCGGUUUGCUAAGACCGAUGUGAAAUCCCCGGGCUCAACCUGGGAACUGCAUUGGUGACUGGCAGGCUAGAGUAUGGCAGAGGGGGGUAGAAUUCCACGUGUAGCAGUGAAAUGCGUAGAGAUGUGGAGGAAUACCGAUGGCGAAGGCAGCCCCCUGGGCCAAUACUGACGCUCAUGCACGAAAGCGUGGGGGAGCAAACAGGAUUAGAUACCCUGGUAGUCCACGCCCUAAACGAUGUCAACUAGUUGUUGGGGAUUCAUUUCCUUAGUAACGUAGCUAACGCGUGAAGUUGACCGCCUGGGGAGUACGGUCGCAAGAUUAAAACUCAAAGGAAUUGACGGGGACCCGCACAAGCGGUGGAUGAUGUGGAUUAAUUCGAUGCAACGCGAAAAACCUUACCUACCCUUGACAUGGUCGGAAUCCCGCUGAGAGGUGGGAGUGCUCGAAAGAGAACCGGCGCACAGGUGCUGCAUGGCUGUCGUCAGCUCGUGUCGUGAGAUGUUGGGUUAAGUCCCGCAACGAGCGCAACCCUUGUCCUUAGUUGCUACGCAAGAGCACUCUAAGGAGACUGCCGGUGACAAACCGGAGGAAGGUGGGGAUGACGUCAAGUCCUCAUGGCCCUUAUGGGUAGGGCUUCACACGUCAUACAAUGGUCGGAACAGAGGGUUGCCAACCCGCGAGGGGGAGCUAAUCCCAGAAAACCGAUCGUAGUCCGGAUUGCACUCUGCAACUCGAGUGCAUGAAGCUGGAAUCGCUAGUAAUCGCGGAUCACGCAUGCCGCGGUGAAUACGUUCCCGGGUCUUGUACUCACCGCC
RNAcentral lists this ribosomal RNA (1367 nucleotides) under uncultured beta proteobacterium. RNAcentral's name for it is "16S ribosomal RNA". It matches the Rfam family "Bacterial small subunit ribosomal RNA", at positions 30 to 1394 of the family's 1533-position model. The record is from RNAcentral. Lineage: Bacteria; Pseudomonadati; Pseudomonadota; Betaproteobacteria.